GAACAUUCCUCAACUUACACCAUGUGACCAGUUCACUCUUUAAAAUGUUACUAGGGAGAUAAAGCUCCACUCAGCCUUGGGUAGCUCCUCCCAAAAGGACCCUGUAAUACCCCAGCUGUAGCUCAGUCCGUGGUGCUGGCUUGUCUUGUUCGGUGGUGGGAGUCCAGGUCUGUGGACUCGAUCUCUCAGCAAUGAGAGCAUCUCCGAGGGACUCCUGGAGCAAUGCAGGUGGUUGAGUCACCAUCUUAUCAGUUUAAGUACCCCCAAAAAAACAAUUCAGAAGAUGAAAAGCUCGUUUGGCUCACAGUCUCAGAGAUGACAGUUUAUACUCGCUUGGCUCCAUUAAUUCUGAGUCCAUGGUGAGGGGAAGCAUCACAGUGAGGAGCAUGCAUGGUAAUGCAGACUGGGUCAUAGCA
Mastomys coucha (southern multimammate mouse) is the source of this 416-nucleotide long non-coding RNA. RefSeq lists it as uncharacterized. The transcript has 3 exons. NCBI's taxonomy places the organism in Eukaryota, Metazoa, Chordata, Mammalia, Rodentia, Muridae. The record is from RefSeq and is a predicted model, not a curated record.